Molecule: ribosomal RNA, 312 nt
Filed under: uncultured bacterium
Lineage: Bacteria
Description: bacterial SSU rRNA
Rfam family: Bacterial small subunit ribosomal RNA
Source: RNAcentral
GAUGAACGCUAGCGGCAGGCUUAAUACAUGCAAGUCGAGGGGCAGCAGCUCUGUAGCAAUACAGAGGCUGGCGACCGGCAAACGGGUGCGGAACACGCACGCAACUUACCCAUAACUGGUGAAUAGCCCUCCGAAAGGAGGAUUAAUACAUCGUAACAUAAUGAUCCCGCAUGGGAUUAUUAUUAUAGCUCCGGCGGUUAUGGAUGGGCGUGCGGCNGAUUAGGUAGUUGGCGGAGUAAUAGCCCACCAAGCCUACGAUCAGUAACUGGUGUGAGAGCACGACCAGUCACACGGGCACUGAGACACGGGCCC